GUCACUUUGCCGGAGUGGUUAACGGGAUCGCCUGCUAUUUAUAGCCCAGCGGUUGGUCUUUGACCGCGAGUGUUCGAAUCGCUCAGGUGACG
This 92-nucleotide transfer RNA is filed under the name Leucogyrophana mollusca. RNAcentral's name for it is "tRNA-Ser". It matches the Rfam family "tRNA". Rfam says of the family: Transfer RNA (tRNA) molecules are approximately 80 nucleotides in length. The record is from RNAcentral. Lineage: Eukaryota; Fungi; Basidiomycota; Agaricomycetes; Boletales.